RNAcentral lists this ribosomal RNA (793 nucleotides) under uncultured archaeon. RNAcentral's name for it is "bacterial SSU rRNA". It matches the Rfam family "Archaeal small subunit ribosomal RNA", at positions 85 to 876 of the family's 1478-position model. The record is from RNAcentral.
ACGGCUCAGUAACACGUGGAUAACCUGCCCUUGGGUCCGGCAUAACCCCGGGAAACUGGGGAUAAUUCCGGAUAACGCACAUAUGCUGGAAUGCUUUAUGCGUAAAAUGGAUUCGUCUGCCCAAGGAUGGGUCUGCGGCCUAUCAGGUAGUAGUGGGUGUAAUGUACCUACUAGCCUACAACGGGUACGGGUUGUGAGAGCAAGAGCCCGGAGAUGGAUUCUGAGACAUGAAUCCAGGCCCUACGGGGCGCAGCAGGCGCGAAAACUUUACAAUGCGGGAAACCGUGAUAAGGGGACACCGAGUGCCAGCAUCAUAUGCUGGCUGUCCAGGUGUGUAAAAUACACCUGUCAGCAAGGGCCGGGCAAGACCGGUGCCAGCCGCCGCGGUAACACCGGCGGCCCGAGUGGUGAUCGUGAUUAUUGGGUCUAAAGGGUCCGUAGCCGGUUUGGUCAGUCCUCCGGGAAAUCUGACGGCUCAACCGUUAGGCUUUCGGGGGAUACUGCCAGGCUUGGAACCGGGAGAGGUAAGAGGUACUACAGGGGUAGGAGUGAAAUCUUGUAAUCCCUGUGAGACCACCUGUGGCGAAGGCGUCUUACCAGAACGGGUUCGACGGUGAGGGACGAAAGCUGGGGGCACGAACCGGAUUAGAUACCCGGGUAGUCCCAGCCGUAAACGAUGCUCGCUAGGUGUCAGGCAUGGCGCGACCGUGUCUGGUGCCGCGGGGAAGCCGUGAAGCGAGCCACCUGGGAAGUACGGCCGCAAGGCUGAAACUUAAAGGAAUUGGCGGGGGAG